RNAcentral lists this ribosomal RNA (460 nucleotides) under uncultured bacterium. RNAcentral describes it as "partial 16S ribosomal RNA". It matches the Rfam family "Bacterial small subunit ribosomal RNA", at positions 338 to 795 of the family's 1533-position model. The record is from RNAcentral.
CCUACGGGUGGCAGCAGUGAGGAAUAUUGGUCAAUGGACGCAAGUCUGAACCAGCCAAGCCGCGUGAAGGACGACGGCUCUAUGAGUUGUAAACUGCUUUUGUACGGGGAUAAACGCAGAUACGAGUAUCUGUCUGAAAGUAUCUUACGAAUAAGCAUCGGCUAACUCCGUGCCAGCAGCCGCGGUAAUACGGAGGAUUCAAGCGUUAUCCGGAUUUAUUGGGUUUAAAGGGUGCGUAGGCGGUCGGAUAAGUUAGAGGUGAAAUCCCGAGGCUCAACUUCGGAAUUGCCUCUGAUACUGUUCGGCUAGAGAGUAGGAGCGGUAGGCGGAAUGUAUGGUGUAGCGGUGAAAUGCUUAGAGAUCAUGCAGAACACCGAUUGCGAAGGCAGCUUACCAAGCUACAUCUGACGUUGAGGCACGAAAGCGUGGGGAGCAAACAGGAUUAGAUACCCUUGUAGUC